This 450-nucleotide ribosomal RNA is filed under the name uncultured bacterium. Its description in RNAcentral is "bacterial SSU rRNA". It matches the Rfam family "Bacterial small subunit ribosomal RNA", at positions 354 to 796 of the family's 1533-position model. The record is from RNAcentral.
GUGGGGAAUAUUGGACAAUGGGCGCAAGCCUGAUCCAGCCAUACCGCGUGGGUGAAGAAGGCCUUCGGGUUGUAAAGCCCUUUUGUUGGGAAAGAAAUCCUGUCGGUUAAUACCUGGCGGGGAUGACGGUACCCAAAAAAUAAGCACCGGCUAACUUCGUGCCAGCAGCCGCGGUAAUACGAAGGGUGCAAGCGUUACUCGGAAUUACUGGGCGUAAAGCGUGCGUAGGUGGUGGUUUAAGUCCGUUGUGAAAGCCCUGGGCUCAACCUGGGAAUUGCAGUGGAUACUGGAUCACUAGAGUGUGGUAGAGGGAUGCGGAAUUUCUGGUGUAGCAGUGAAAUGCGUAGAGAUCAGAAGGAACAUCCGUGGCGAAGGCGGCAUCCUGGGCCAACACUGACACUGAGGCACGAAAGCGUGGGGAGCAAACAGGAUUAGAAACCCGAGUAGUCC